AAGUCGUAACAAGGUUUCCGUAGGUGAACCUGCGGAAGGAUCAUUAUUGAACGAAACUUCUGGCUGGAUGCUGUUGUGCUGGUCCUUAGGGGCAAUGUGCACACCUCUGGCUGUUUGUUUCUUCUGUUCCACCUGUGCACUGUCUGUAGACACACUGUGUCUAUGAUACACACACACACACACACAUGUUUUGUAUGUUGGCUGGCAGAUUAUAUAUGUAAUAUAUAUAUAUACAACUUUCAACAAUGGAUCUCUUGGCUCUC
Molecule: unclassified non-coding RNA, 263 nt
Filed under: Amanita sp.
Lineage: Eukaryota; Fungi; Basidiomycota; Agaricomycetes; Agaricales; Amanitaceae
Description: partial internal transcribed spacer region
Rfam family: Eukaryotic small subunit ribosomal RNA (bases 1-46)
Source: RNAcentral